Long non-coding RNA from Gorilla gorilla gorilla (western lowland gorilla), 3996 nucleotides. RefSeq lists it as uncharacterized. The record is from RefSeq and is a predicted model, not a curated record. The transcript has 6 exons. NCBI's taxonomy places the organism in Eukaryota, Metazoa, Chordata, Mammalia, Primates, Hominidae.
UCCCUGCCUCGCCGUGGGUGCCUCCCCCACUGCGAUGGGGGCCCUGAGAUUCAGGGGGGAAGAGGGGCUGGCUCUCAGUCCCUGCCUCGUUGGGGGUGCCUCCCCCCCCUGCGAUGGGGGUCCUGAGAGCCAGGGGGGGCAGAGGGGCUGGCUCUCAGUCCCUGCCUCGUGGGGGGUGCCUCCCCCCCUGCGAUGAGUGUCCUAAGAGCCUGGGGUGGAAGAGGGGCUGGCUCUCAGUCCCCGGCUCGCAGGUGGUGCCACCCCCUCUGCGAUGGGGGUUCCAAGAGCCAAGGGGGGGAAACUGGGCUGCCUCUCAGCCACCACAAAAUGGGGGGCCUUUAUGUUCAGGUUUUGCGCAAGAGUCAGCUUAUUUGCUUCUUCUUCUAGCAGGGCAGUUGCUGCCAAGGCCCUCCAACAGGGGAGCCAUCCUUCAGAAACCCUGUGUAGUUGUUGAGAGACGUAGGCCACCGGCCUCAGCCGGGGCCCCACAGUUUGGGUGAAAAGUCCAGCUGCCAUCUUUUCUCUCUCUAACACAUACAAUGGAAAAGGCUUUGUCAGAUCGGGUAGCCCCGGGGCUGGGGCUGCCAGAAGUUUUUCCUUUAACUCAUGAAAGACUUGCUGUUGUUGGGAUCCCCAUUCCAAAGCUUCCCAGUGCCCACCCCCUUUGUGACCUCAUACAAAGGCUUGGCUAAUACUACAGAAUUUGGGAUCCACAGUCUACAAAACCCCACAGCUCCUGAGAAUUCUCUCGGCUGCCUUCGGCCCUUAGGCUCUGGUAGAUUGCAAAUAACCUGCUUUCUUUCUGUUCCCGGGCGGCGUCGGACCCCUGUCGGAGAGUAAAUCCGAAGUAAGGUACCUGCCGUCGGCAGAUUUGAGCUUUCUUCUUGGACACCCAAUACCCACAGUCCUCCAGGCUCCGGUGGAUUGCAAAUGACCUGCUUUCUUUCUGUUCCCGGGCUGCGUUCAGACCCCUGUCGGAUAGUAAAUCCCAAAUAAGGUACCUGCCUUCAGCAGAUUUGAGCUUUCUUCUUGGACAUCUAAUACCCACAGUCCUCCAGGCUCCGGUGGAUUGCAAAUGACCUGCUUUCUUUCUGUUCCCGGGCUGCGUUCAGACCCCUGUCGGAUAGUAAAUCCCAAAUAAGGUACCUGCCUUCAGCAGAUUUGAGCUUUCUUCUUGGACAUCUAAUACCCACAGUCCUCCAGGCUCCGGUGGAUUGCAAAUGACCUGCUUUCUUUCUGUUCCCGGGCUGCGUUCAGACCCCUGUCGGAUAGUAAAUCCCAAAUAAGGUACCUGCCUUCAGCAGAUUUGAGCUUUCUUCUUGGACAUCUAAUACCCACAGUCCUCCAGGCUCCGGUGGAUUGCAAAUGACCUGCUUUCUUUCUGUUCCCGGGCUGCGUUCAGACCCCUGUCGGAUAGUAAAUCCCAAAUAAGGUACCUGCCUUCAGCAGAUUUGAGCUUUCUUCUUGGACAUCUAAUACCCACAGUCCUCCAGGUGGGUCCUAAGGUUCUUAGGAUCUGCGAUGGGGGUCCUAAGCCGGGGGGGAUGAGGGGAUGGCUCUCGGUCCCCGCCUCAUGGGGGGUGCCUCCCCCCCUGCGAUGGGGCCCCUAAGAGCCAGGGGGGAAGUGGGGCUGGCUCUCAGUCCCCGCCUCGCGGGGGGUGCCUCCCCCCUCUGCGAUGCGGGUUCUAAGAGCCACAGGGGGAAGAGGGGCUGGCUCUCAGUCCCCUCCUCGUGGGGGGUGCCUCCCCACCCAGCGAUGGGGGUCCUGAGAGCCGAGGGGGAUGAGGGGCUGGCUCUCAGUACCUGCCUCGUGGGGGGUGCCUCCCCCUCCUGCGAUGGAGGUCCUAAGAGCCAGAGGGGGAAGAGGGGCUGGCUCUCAGUCCCUGCCUCGUUGGGGGUGCCUCCCCCCCUCUGCGAUGGGGGUCCUGAGAGCCAGGGGGGCAGAGGGGCUGGCUCUCAGUCCCUGCCUCGUGGGGGGUGCCUCCCCCUCCUGCGAUGGUGGUCCUAAGAGCCAGAGGGGGAAGAGGGGCUGGCUCUCAGUCUCUGCCUCAUGGGGGGUGCCUCCCCCCCCCUGCGAUGGGAGUCCUGAGAGCCGGGGGGGAUGAGGGGCUGGCUCUCAAUCCCCGCCUCGCCGUGGGUGCCUCCCCCACUGCGAUGGGGGGGGCCCUGAGAUUCAGGGGGGAAGAGGGGCUGGCUCUCAGUCCCUGCCUCGUUGGGGGUGCCUCCCCCCACCUCCGAUUGGUGUCCUAAGAGCCUGAGGGGAAAGACGGGCUGGCUCUCAGUCCCCGCCUCGUGGGGGGUGCCUCCCACCCAACGAUGGGGGUCCUAAGAGCCGGGGGCGGAAGAGGGGCUGCCUCUGAGUCCCUGCCUCGUGGGGGGUGCCUCCCCCUCCUGCGAUGGUGGUCCUAAGAGCCAGAGGGGGAAGAGGGGCUGGCUCUCAGUCUCUGCCUCAUGGGGGGUGCCUCCCCCCCCUGCGAUGGGAGUCCUGAGAGCCGGGGGGGAUGAGGGGCUGGCUCUCAAUCCCCGCCUCGCCGUGGGUGCCUCCCCCACUGCGAUGGGGGCCCUGAGAUUCAGGGGGGAAGAGGGGCUGGCUCUCAGUCCCUGCCUCGUUGGGGGUGCCUCCCCCCCCUGCAAUGGGGGUCCUGAGAGCCAGGGGGGGCAGAGGGGCUGGCUCUCAGUCCCUGCCUCGUGGGGGGUGCCUCACCCCCUGCGAUGAGUGUCCUAAGAGCCUGGGGCGGAAGAGGGGCUGGCUCUCAGUCCCCGGCUCGCAGGUGGUGCCACCCCCUCUGCGAUGGGGGUCCCAAGAGCCAGGGGGGGAAACUGGGCUGCCUCUCAGCCACCACAAAAUGGGGGGCCUUUAUGUUCAGGUUUUGCGCAAGAGUCAGCUUAUUUGCUUCUUCUUCUAGCAGGGCAGUUGCUGCCAAGGCCCUCCAACAGGGGAGCCAUCCUUCAGAAACCCUGUCUAGUUGUUGAGAGACGUAGGCCACCGGCCUCAGCCGGGGCCCCACAGUUUGGGUGAAAAGUCCAGCUGCCAUCUUUUCUCUCUCUAACACAUACAAUGGAAAAGGCUUUGUCAGAUCGGGUAGCCCCGGGGCUGGGGCUGCCAGAAGUUUUUCCUUUAACUCAUGAAAGACUUGCUGUUGUUGGGAUCCCCAUUCCAAAGCUUCCCAGUGCCCACCCCCUUUGUGACCUCAUACAAAGGCUUGGCUAAUACUACAGAAUUUGGGAUCCACAGUCUACAAAACCCCACAGCUCCUGAGAAUUCUCUCGGCUGCCUUCGGCCCUUAGGCUCUGGUAGAUUGCAAAUAACCUGCUUUCUUUCUGUUCCCGGGCGGCGUCGGACCCCUGUCGGAGAGUAAAUCCGAAGUAAGGUACCUGCCGUCGGCAGAUUUGAGCUUUCUUCUUGGACACCCAAUACCCACAGUCCUCCAGGCUCCGGUGGAUUGCAAAUGACCUGCUUUCUUUCUGUUCCCGGGCUGCGUUCAGACCCCUGUCGGAUAGUAAAUCCCAAAUAAGGUACCUGCCUUCAGCAGAUUUGAGCUUUCUUCUUGGACAUCUAAUACCCACAGUCCUCCAGGUGGGUCCUAAGGUUCUUAGGAUCUGCGAUGGGGGUCCUAAGCCGGGGGGGAUGAGGGGAUGGCUCUCGGUCCCCGCCUCAUGGGGGGUGCCUCCCCCCCUGCGAUGGGGCCCCUAAGAGCCAGGGGGGAAGUGGGGCUGGCUCUCAGUCCCCGCCUCGCGGGGGGUGCCUCCCCCCUCUGCGAUGCGGGUUCUAAGAGCCACAGGGGGAAGAGGGGCUGGCUCUCAGUCCCCUCCUCGUGGGGGGUGCCUCCCCACCCAGCGAUGGGGGUCCUGAGAGCCGAGGGGGAUGAGGGGCUGGCUCUCAGUACCUGCCUCGUGGGGGGUGCCUCCCCCUCCUGCGAUGGAGGUCCUAAGAGCCAGAGGGGGAAGAGGGGCUGGCUCUCAGUCCCUGCCUCGUUGGGGGUGCCUCCCCCUCUC